Trachemys scripta elegans is the source of this 436-nucleotide long non-coding RNA. RefSeq lists it as uncharacterized. The record is from RefSeq and is a predicted model, not a curated record. The transcript is spliced from 3 exons. Lineage: Eukaryota; Metazoa; Chordata; Testudines; Emydidae.
UGUUGCUGAGCUGAAAUCCAAACAUCACCAACCAGCUCUUCACGUCUAAAAAUCAAAAGUAAAUAAAUGAGUGAAAAAUGAAGGAUGUCGUUACACAGCUGGAGAAAUUCUUUUCCGCAGCAAAAAGCUGUCAGCAAAUCAGCAUCAAGUGUUAACUGUAAAUAUGUCUAGAGGAUGGUGUUUGAAGGUUCUUAAACUGGGGGUCACAACCAAGAGUCAGGGGUCAAGACUACGCUGUCCUUUUCAUACUACCGAAUGGGAAGAUGGUCCUAGCUUGAUGGGAGAAGGUUCUGCAGGUGGAUGAGGAGACAGCGGAAGGAAAGUCCUGGAAUGGAGAAGUUUGAUCUAUUUCUUUUUCCAACACAAAAUUCUAAACUUUAGAAAUUUGCACUAAAACCUUUUAGUAAACAACCGUUAAUGAGUUCUCACCUGUUAC